GACGAACGCUGGCGGCGUGCCUAACACAUGCAAGUCGAACGGGAUCCGCAAGGGUUCAGUGGCGGACGGGUGCGUAACACGUGAAGAACAUGUCUUUCGGUGGGGGAGUAGCCGGCCCAACGGCCGGGUAAGUACCGCAUACGCUGUUCGGGGCGUCCUGCCCUGAAUACGGAAAGACAGCAAUGCGCCGAUCGAGUGCUUCGCGGCCUAUCAGCUAGUUGGUGAGGUAAUGGCUCACCAAGGCGACGACGGGUAGCUGGUCUGAGAGGAUGGCCAGCCACAUUGGGACUGAGACACGGCCCAGACUCCUACGGGAGGCAGCAGUGGGGAAUAUUGCGCAAUGGGCGAAAGCCUGACGCAGCGACGCCGCGUGU
Molecule: ribosomal RNA, 374 nt
Filed under: uncultured bacterium
Lineage: Bacteria
Description: bacterial SSU rRNA
Rfam family: Bacterial small subunit ribosomal RNA
Source: RNAcentral